Molecule: ribosomal RNA, 499 nt
Filed under: Dolichospermum compactum 0RE27S3
Lineage: Bacteria; Bacillati; Cyanobacteriota; Cyanophyceae; Nostocales; Aphanizomenonaceae
Description: bacterial SSU rRNA
Rfam family: Bacterial small subunit ribosomal RNA
Source: RNAcentral
GGUGAAAGGCUUGCUGCCUGAAGAAGAGCUUGCGUCUGAUUAGCUAGUUGGUGGGGUAAGAGCCUACCAAGGCGACGAUCAGUAGCUGGUCUGAGAGGAUGAUCAGCCACACUGGGACUGAGACACGGCCCAGACUCCUACGGGAGGCAGCAGUGGGGAAUUUUCCGCAAUGGGCGAAAGCCUGACGGAGCAAUACCGCGUGAGGGAGGAAGGCUCUUGGGUUGUAAACCUCUUUUCUCAGGGAAGAACAGAAUGACGGUACCUGAGGAAUAAGCAUCGGCUAACUCCGUGCCAGCAGCCGCGGUAAUACGGAGGAUGCAAGCGUUAUCCGGAAUGAUUGGGCGUAAAGGGUCCGCAGGUGGCAUAGUAAGUCUGCUGUUAAAGAGUCACGCUCAACGUGAUAAGAGCAGUGGAAACUACAAAGCUAGAGUAUGGUCGGGGCAGAGGGAAUUCCUGGUGUAGCGGUGAAAUGCGUAGAUAUCAGGAAGAACACCGGUGG